CCUACGGGUGGCAGCAGUGGGGAAUAUUGCACAAUGGGGGAAACCCUGAUGCAGCGACGCCGCGUGAGUGAAGAAGUAUUUCGGUAUGUAAAGCUCUAUCAGCAGGGAAGAAAUAGCGACCUUUGGGUCGCCAGCCGGUACCUGAUUAAGAAGCCCCGGCUACCUACGUGCCAGCAGCCGCGGUAAUACGGAGGAUGCGCGCGUUAUCCGGAUUUAUUGGGUUUAAAGGGUGCGUAGGCGGAAUGCCAAGUCAGCGGUAAAAUCGCGGGGCCCAACCUGGGUCCGCCGUUGAAACUGGCGUGCUUGAGUGGGCGAGAAGUAUGCGGAAUGCGUGGUGUAGCGGUGAAAUGCAUAGAUAUCACGCAGAACUCCGAUUGCGAAGGCAGCAUACCGGCGCCCAACUGACGCUGAAGCACGAAAGCGUGGGUAUCGAACAGGAUUAGAUACCCUGGUAGUC
This 457-nucleotide ribosomal RNA is filed under the name uncultured bacterium. RNAcentral describes it as "partial 16S ribosomal RNA". It matches the Rfam family "Bacterial small subunit ribosomal RNA", at positions 338 to 795 of the family's 1533-position model. The record is from RNAcentral.